AUAGCGAAUGCGAAAAUGGCGGACCUCAGGCUCAAGCGUCACAGAAAGAUGGGGUUUUCCCAGGAUUUUGAAGUUGCGCGUUAUCUACUGGAGUUUGAAAAGUAUACAACGAGACGAAGGAAGGUUGAAGAUAAGAAACUUUCCAGUUCGUCUGUUAACCCGUUUGACUUCACAGGAUUUUUAACAAGAAGAGUGGUCGUUGGUCAGUAUAUGAAGAAAUGAAAAAGAAGACCUUCUAGUACAUUCCAUAAUUAUUGACUUCAGCCCUAAAACUCAGACUGAAGGACCACACUGGGAUGAAGAUGAAAGGAACUGGAUGAAAAAGACCCUAGGCGCAUUUCAAAACAUUUGGCACAUGUGCCACCACAGCCAACAGCAGAUCUGGCAAAUCAGAAACAGUCUAGAUUUUAGAUCUGUGUACUAUUGAAGCACUAAAUGCUUAUAUGAUUGUUAUGUUGGAAUUAGAUUGGUGACCAGGCAUAUAAAGGUUAUUGUGACUAACUUAAAAUAAAAUGUUUUUGGUCAAUAACAAAUGUUCAGAUCAAUCAAACUUGAUAAAGUUGGGUUUGUAGCAAGAUGCAUGCAAUUGCAUACCCAAUCUUUAUAGCAAGCUGCAUGUAGACCAAGCUUGGUUUCCAUUUUGAUGCAUAUUCUUCUAGUGUUGCUGUGAAUGUUAUUUAUUUGUAUUGUUCUGAAGUUCUUAAUUGCAUAAGUUGCUUACAAUUUAACCCUGUGUUAACUUGUGUAAAGACUCUUGCUUUAUUCAUUGGUUAAAUUGAAAAUCUUGUUUUAUGGCCUGGAAGGGAGGAAUAUAGUUUUCAAACUGUCUAUAUGUCUGCCCAAAACUGUGUGUUCAGUGCAUAUCUUUGUUAUCUAUGGUUAGAUUUUAUAAUAUCUUGGCACACAAGAAGCAUAGGAAGAUGAAGUGUUGCCUGAAUUACCCAGGUCUCUAGCUCAAAGGUUAAGGUCAUACUUUAAGAUUGUACAUUGAUAGGCGUGUCUGGUGCAUAUCUUUGACAUUAAUGGGUAGAUUUUCAAAUAGCUUGGUACAAAUGUGUAGCAAGAAGAUGAAAUGUUGUGCAUAACACCUAGGUCCUAGCUCAAAUGUAAAAGUCACACUUAUAUUUUCAAGGUCAUAUUUCAAGAUUAUGCAUUGAUAGGCAUGUGUUGUUCAUAUCUUUGUCUAUGGAUGAAUUUUGAAAUACUUUUGCACAAGUGAAAAGGUUACUAUCACAAGACCCAGGUUCUCAGCUCAAAGGUCACACUAAGACUUUUAAGGGCAUGUUCCAUGAUUGGGUAUAAAUGGGUAUGUCAUUCAUCAAUUUAUUUUUAAACAACUUGCCACAAUUGUUAAGCACAGUAAGAAAAAAGUGUCACGUACAACCCAGGAUCCUACCUCAAAGGUAUAGGUCAUAAAACCAUUUGUGUCAUGAUUCAUCCUCUGGAGACAGUUUGUGAUUAUGCACUUUUAACAGAUUUGUGUUUUGUAAAGUAUCGUUGAUGUAAAGAUAUUUAAUUAAUGCAUAUCUUUGUCUAUGGAUGAAUUUUGAAAUACUUUUGCACAAGUGAAAAGGUUACUAUCACAAGACCCAGGUUCUGAGCUCAAAGGUCACACUAAGACUUUUACGGGCAUGUUCCAUGAUUGGGCAUAAAUGGGUAUGUCAUUCAUCAAUUUAUUUUUAAACAAUUUGCCACAAUUGUUAAGCAUAGUAAGAAAAAAGUGUCACGUACAACCCAGGAUCCUACCUCAAAGGUAUAUGUCAUAAAACCAUUUGUGUCACGUUUCAUCCUCUGGAGACAGUUUGUUAUUAUGCACUUUUAACAGAUUUGUGUUUUGUAAAGUUUAGUUGAGGUAAAGAUAU
This is an RNA transcript of Dreissena polymorpha, 1862 nucleotides long. RefSeq lists it as uncharacterized. Lineage: Eukaryota; Metazoa; Mollusca; Bivalvia; Myida; Dreissenidae. The transcript has 3 exons. The record is from RefSeq and is a predicted model, not a curated record.